GAUGAACGCUGGCGGCGUGCCUAAUACAUGCAAGUCGAGCGAACGGACGAGAAGCUUGCUUCUCUGAUGUUAGCGGCGGACGGGUGAGUAACACGUGGAUAACCUACCUAUAAGACUGGGAUAACUUCGGGAAACCGGAGCUAAUACCGGAUAAUAUUUUGAACCGCAUGGUUCAAAAGUGAAAGACGGUCUUGCUGUCACUUAUAGAUGGAUCCGCGCUGCAUUAGCUAGUUGGUAAGGUAACGGCUUACCAAGGCAACGAUGCAUAGCCGACCUGAGAGGGUGAUCGGCCACACUGGAACUGAGACACGGUCCAGACUCCUACGGGAGGCAACAGUAGGGAAUCUUCCGCAAUGGGCGAAAGCCUGACGGAGCAACGCCGCGUGAGUGAUGAAGGUCUUCGGAUCGUAAAACUCUGUUAUUAGGGAAGAACAUAUGUGUAAGUAACUGUGCACAUCUUGACGGUACCUAAUCAGAAAGCCACGGCUAACUACGUGCCAGCAGCCGCGGUAAUACGUAGGUGGCAAGCGUUAUCCGGAAUUAUUGGGCGUAAAGCGCGCGUAGGCGGUUUUUUAAGUCUGAUGUGAAAGCCCACGGCUCAACCGUGGAGGGUCAUUGGAAACUGGAAAACUUGAGUGCAGAAGAGGAAAGUGGAAUUCCAUGUGUAGCGGUGAAAUGCGCAGAGAUAUGGAGGAACACCAGUGGCGAAGGCGACUUUCUGGUCUGUAACUGACGCUGAUGUGCGAAAGCGUGGGGAUCAAACAGG
This 766-nucleotide ribosomal RNA is filed under the name Staphylococcus aureus. Its description in RNAcentral is "bacterial SSU rRNA". It matches the Rfam family "Bacterial small subunit ribosomal RNA", at positions 28 to 776 of the family's 1533-position model. Lineage: Bacteria; Bacillati; Bacillota; Bacilli; Caryophanales; Staphylococcaceae. The record is from RNAcentral.